RNA transcript from Nannospalax galili (Upper Galilee mountains blind mole rat), 2666 nucleotides. It is a transcript of the gene named ankyrin repeat and SOCS box containing 8, with no coding region annotated. The transcript is spliced from 5 exons. The record is from RefSeq and is a predicted model, not a curated record. NCBI's taxonomy places the organism in Eukaryota, Metazoa, Chordata, Mammalia, Rodentia, Spalacidae.
CUACUCGCUCUUCCUCCGGAAAACCGAGAGCAGGCGCGGACCGCUUUGCUUCCGGGGCAGGCCUUGACAGCGGCUUCCCCGACCCCGCUCAGCCAGCGGCUCGGCACUUUGGAGCAUGUGAACACGCUGAGCCUUGAUGAGUUCCAGUAUGUGGUAUAUUAUGCAGAGCAUUCAGAGCAAAUACUCUCUCUCAGAGCGCUUAAUCCGAACAAUCGCUGCCAUCCGUUCCUUCCCACAUGAUAACGUAGAGGACCUCAUCAGAGGGGGAGCAGAUGUGAACUGCACUCACGGGACACUGAAGCCCCUGCACUGUGCCUGCAUGGUGUCAGAUGCUGACUGUGUGGAGUUACUCCUGGAAAAAGGAGCAGAGGUGAAUGCCCUGGAUGGUUACAACCGAACAGCCCUCCACUAUGCAGCAGAAAAAGAUGAGGCUUGUGUGGAAGUCCUGUUGGAAUAUGGCGCAAACCCCAAUGCACUGGAUGGCAACAGAGAUACCCCUCUUCACUGGGCAGCCUUUAAGAACAAUGCUGAGUGUGUGCGGGCUCUUCUGGAGAGUGGGGCCUCUGUAAAUGCCCUGGAUUACAACAAUGAUACACCUCUCAGCUGGGCUGCCAUGAAGGGAAAUCUUGAGAGCGUCAGCAUCCUUCUUGAUUAUGGUGCUGAGGUCAGAGUCAUCAACUUAAAAGGCCAGACACCCAUCUCUCGCCUGGUGGCUCUGCUAGUCAGAGGACUUGGAACAGAGAAAGAGGACUCCUGCUUUGAGCUCCUCCAUAGAGCUGUUGGACACUUCGAAUUAAGGAAAAACGGCACCAUGCCACGAGAAGUAGCCAAAGACCAGCAGCUGUGUGAAAAACUGACUGUGUUGUGCUCAGCACCAGGGACUCUGAAAACACUCUCCCGCUAUGCUGUACGCCGUAGCCUGGGUCUCCAGUAUCUACCGGAUGCAGUGAAGGGUCUUCCACUGCCCGCUUCUUUGAAGGAAUACCUGUUACUUGUAGAAUAGCCUGGAGGAGACAUUUGCGCCAUCACGUGGGCAGCUCUGGGUGAGGUUUUCACUGCAGUACUGUCUCUUUGUCACGGAACACAAAAAAGAACUUGUUCCUUUUGUGUGGUUUAUACAUUUUGAGGCAACAUGUCGCAGCAGUAACACACACCACCUCCCCUCUCAUACCAAACAACCAAAGAAAUCCCUCACUUUUGUUUGAGCUUCUGUUGCUUAGUUGGCUUUUUACAGUGCACCCUGCAAAAGGGCUCCCUCAUCCUCCCCUUUAGGACACUUUAAUGUCAACAGUGCAACUAAAUUUCCCUAGGAGGAUGGAAAGUGUUGAGAGUGUGUGGUUUUCCUUUGGGGACAUGAUUUAGUAUUGCAGAAGACCUUCUAGAAAGCUCUUUAGUUCAUCUGUGAAGAAGUUUAAGAAUAAUCACAAUUCCAGUUAACAAGAAUUAUGUCCCAAGGAUGAACACUCGAACCUGACUCAAAGUGGGCGUUCAGAAAGGACUGGUUCCUCUCUCCUCACCAAAAGAGUUAAGUCUUUGCUUUUUUUUCUCCCUGAAAGCCAAUUUGCACUAAUGGGCUUAACAUGGAUUUCCUGCGCCUUGGGUUGAGGUGUUUGCUCCAGCAGGGGAGAUGGGGCUCCUUUCCCUUGGGUCCUCAUUCCCUAUGGAAAGGGCUCAACUAGGCGUUUGGACUUGUUUUUCUUUCCACGGUCUUGGAAACUUUGCUCUUUACUGAGCCAUAGCAGAUGCUGGUAGGAGACGGAGCUGAGAAGGGAAUGGAGAAUGGAGAAGAGCUGCUUUUGAGCUGGCCACCUACCCAUAAGACCUAGUCGAGUUUCUGUCAGAUGGAGUCUGGCUUUCAUCCAAGAAAGAGUCGAGAGGAGGAGUUGAAAAGGAAGAAUGUGGGGCUGGAAAGAUGGCUCAGCAGUUAAGAGCACUGAUUGCUCUUGCAGAGGACCCGGGUUCGAUUCCCAGCACCCACAGGGUGGCUACGAACCGUCCUUAAUUCCAGUUCCAGGGGAAUCCGAAGCCCUCUUCUGACCUCCAUGGCAUUGCAUGAAACAGGUGCACUCACAUAUAUGCAGGCAAUAUACUCAUACACAUAAAAUAAAAAUAAAAUUUUUAAAAAAGAAAAGAAUGCUAAGUUUGGGAGCAGAGAUUUUGGGAUGCUGGGGAGAAGCAAGCCUAGGUAAUAGGCGUAUGAUCAAGAAGUAAAGCAUACCCUCACACUUGGGGAGAUAGGAGGAUCCUCUUGUCUUCAGAGAAUGCCAGAGGGACUAGUGGGAGAUGGGGCUGAGAGUUGGUACCCUGUGUUCGAGGACGCAAUACACAGCCAAGAGAUGCUGCAAAAAAAUACUCCAGCAAGCCGAAGUGCUCAUGAUAAUCAUGCGCUGUUUUCUCCCAGGUCUGUCUGGGUAGGUCUGGUACAUGGAGCUGAUAGUACUACACUCCCCUUGUGAGAUGAGAACAGGAGAACCAAAAGCACAGUGACCAGUUGGCAUUUAUUAGUGUAGUUAUAGUUUGUCACUGUAGUAAAAGUAGAUGAACUAAGAUUCUUCGUUAUCACAAAGAAAUAAAUAAAGCUGAUUUUUAGGAAAAUUCUAACGGAGUAGCUGAAACCUAGCAGUAGCACUAGAGGAAUCCAGCCUCUGUGGCAGACGAAGCUGGGG